CAUUUUUUUUAAUUGAGUUCUGUAGCAAGGGAAGGUAGAAGCUGCAAGAAUGAUUGGCAGGUCUUGAGACUUAGAAUCGUAUAUGAGCUGGUUGGGUCAGAGUUCCAAAGGGGCAGUUUUCCAACUGACUUAGUCUGGAGCUGAAAGUGAAGAAGGAAGAUGUGUAGCUGAGACUCCCUGAACAAACCACCUAUCAAGCAACUGGCCUUUGAGGAUCAACUGGCUGAGGGUGAAAGGAAAAUCACCAGUCUUCCUGGUGGACAGAUUGACUGGGGGAAAGACCUCUACCUUGCUGGACCAUCUGAGGACACCACAACUUGAAUUCCUGAUAUCUGCCCAACCACUGACUCUCAUUUUUCUGCAAAGGAAUAUAUUGACCCCACAGGUUUCACCUGACGCCAAAGAAUCCAUGACACAAAAAAGGGGAGAAGAGGAUGGCUGA
Molecule: long non-coding RNA, 442 nt
Filed under: Monodelphis domestica (gray short-tailed opossum)
Lineage: Eukaryota; Metazoa; Chordata; Mammalia; Didelphimorphia; Didelphidae
Description: lncRNA (ENSMODG00000045344.1)
Source: RNAcentral